UGGGAUGUGGCCAAGUGGUAAGGCUCAUGAUUUUGGUUCAUGCAUUCGGAGGUUCGAAUCCUCCCAUCCCAG
Molecule: transfer RNA, 72 nt
Filed under: Elusimicrobiota bacterium
Lineage: Bacteria; Pseudomonadati; Elusimicrobiota
Description: tRNA-Gln
Rfam family: tRNA
About the family: Transfer RNA (tRNA) molecules are approximately 80 nucleotides in length. Their secondary structure includes four short double-helical elements and three loops (D, anti-codon, and T loops).
Source: RNAcentral